UGGGGAAUAUUGGACAAUGGGCGAAAGCCUGAUCCAGCCAUGCCGCGUGUGUGAAGAAGGUCUUCGGAUUGUAAAGCACUUUAAGUUGGGAGGAAGGGCAGUAAGUUAAUACCUUGCUGUUUUGACGUUACCGACAGAAUAAGCACCGGCUAACUCUGUGCCAGCAGCCGCGGUAAUACAGAGGGUGCAAGCGUUAAUCGGAAUUACUGGGCGUAAAGCGCGCGUAGGUGGUUUGUUAAGUUGGAUGUGAAAGCCCCGGGCUCAACCUGGGAACUGCAUUCAAAACUGACAAGCUAGAGUAUGGUAGAGGGUGGUGGAAUUUCCUGUGUAGCGGUGAAAUGCGUAGAUAUAGGAAGGAACACCAGUGGCGAAGGCGACCACCUGGACUGAUACUGACACUGAGGUGCGAAAGCGUGGGGAGCAAACAGGAUUAGAUACCCCCGUAGUCCCUGAGCGGGCUGGCAAGGCGCAU
RNAcentral lists this ribosomal RNA (472 nucleotides) under uncultured bacterium. RNAcentral describes it as "bacterial SSU rRNA". It matches the Rfam family "Bacterial small subunit ribosomal RNA", at positions 355 to 825 of the family's 1533-position model. The record is from RNAcentral.